RNAcentral lists this ribosomal RNA (597 nucleotides) under Triticum aestivum (bread wheat). RNAcentral describes it as "partial small subunit ribosomal RNA". The record is from RNAcentral. Lineage: Eukaryota; Viridiplantae; Streptophyta; Magnoliopsida; Poales; Poaceae.
AUGGCCACCCUCCUUCUUCUUGCGCUGUCGGCCUCCAUCGCGCCACAGCCGACGCCGUCGCAGCGCCGGUCACCAUGGACCGUCUUGUCGUGGAUGACGUCCUCGCGAGGCCGACCAUCACACCAUCAUCAUAUUGCGGCAUCGCACCGCAAUCGGCCACCAGCGGCAUCGCGCCGCCAACGGCCUCCACCUUGCGCCACCGUCCUCCACCUCACAUGGAGUCGGCCGCGCCGCCGUCGCCGCCUCGGAUCUACCGGGGCUCUGAUGCCAAUUGUUGGCGCCGCCUCACCUCGCAGCGCUGCUUCUUCUACCUCGAGUUGCUGCCUCUCACAGCUCCCUCUCUCUUUCUCUGGUUGUUUCUCUCAAGAACACAUGAGAACACACACGCACACAUGCACCAAGAGAAAUACAAUGACUUUGCCAAAAGCACUUUCUUGGUGGCACACCGUGGCUACAUGUUUACUUCAGCCCUCUCGGCCUCGGCUCAAACAACAAGCUUUACAUCUCUUAUAUAGAGACUCACGCGCACACACAGCCACGGCCACACCGGCCACUAACUCACGCAUGCACGGGCCAGCCGCCACUCUCGGCUGCUAA